UACGAAGGGGGCUAGCGUUGUUCGGAUUUACUGGGCGUAAAGCGCACGUAGGCGGAUUGUUAAGUCGGGGGUGAAAUCCUGGAGCUCAACUCCAGAAUUGCCUUCGAUACUGGCUUUCUAGAGGCUGGAAGAGGUUAGUGGAAUUCCCAGUGUAGAGGUGAAAUUCGUAGAUAUUGGGAGGAACACCAGUGGCGAAGGCGGCUCACUGGCUCGGUACUGACGCUGAGGUGCGAAAGCGUGGGGAGCAAACAGG
Molecule: ribosomal RNA, 253 nt
Filed under: uncultured bacterium
Lineage: Bacteria
Description: partial 16S ribosomal RNA
Rfam family: Bacterial small subunit ribosomal RNA
Source: RNAcentral